RNAcentral lists this microRNA precursor (59 nucleotides) under Paramuricea clavata. The record is from RNAcentral. Lineage: Eukaryota; Metazoa; Cnidaria; Anthozoa; Malacalcyonacea; Plexauridae.
GAGAAAGUCCCUGCGUCCCGCAUAUAGGGACACUAUAUGCGGGACGCAGGGACUUUCUC